GAUGAAGAACGUAGCGAAAUGCGAUAAGUAAUGUGAAUUGCAGAAUUCAGUGAAUCAUCGAAUCUUUGAACGCACCUUGCACUCCUUGGUAUUCCGAGGAGUACGCCUGUUCGAGUGUUAUGAAGCUCUCAAAACGCAAUUGGCUUAAAACCUGAUUGUUGUUUUGGAUUUGAACUUUGCCGUGUUAUAACGGCUGGUUUUAAAAGUAUUAGCUGGUACUAGAACGAAUUGGUUCUACUCAACGUGAUAAUUAUCUGAUCGUUGAGGACAUUCCUUUCACGAGGAAUGGCCAUAGUAAAUUCAAUGGACUGCUUCUAAUCUGGCUUUAAUUCUUUAUUGGAUUAACCACUUUUCAAAUCUGACCUCGAAUCAGGUCGGACUACCCGCUGAACUUAAGCAUAUCAAUAAGCGGAGGA
RNAcentral lists this unclassified non-coding RNA (416 nucleotides) under soil metagenome. Its description in RNAcentral is "partial contains 5.8S ribosomal RNA, internal transcribed spacer 2, and large subunit ribosomal RNA". The stretch from base 1 to 120 matches the Rfam family "5.8S ribosomal RNA", at positions 35 to 154 of the family's 154-position model. The record is from RNAcentral.